Long non-coding RNA from Bufo bufo (common toad), 208 nucleotides. RefSeq lists it as uncharacterized. The record is from RefSeq and is a predicted model, not a curated record. Lineage: Eukaryota; Metazoa; Chordata; Amphibia; Anura; Bufonidae. The transcript has 3 exons.
GUACUUCACUUUUAAGGGUACUUUCACACUUGCGUUUUUCUUUUCCGGCAUAGAGUUCCGCCCUAGGGGCUCUAUAUCGGAAAAGAACUAAUCAAUUUUAUCCCCAUGCAUUCUGAAUGGAGAGCAAUCCGUUCAGGAUGCAUCAGGAUGUCUUCAGUCUUUUUUACUAAUCAGGACAGAGAAAAAAACGCAGCAUGCUACGGUUUUA